This is a long non-coding RNA of Apodemus sylvaticus (European woodmouse), 1291 nucleotides long. RefSeq lists it as uncharacterized. The transcript has 4 exons. NCBI's taxonomy places the organism in Eukaryota, Metazoa, Chordata, Mammalia, Rodentia, Muridae. The record is from RefSeq and is a predicted model, not a curated record.
CGGCCGCUGAGCCGGACUGAGGCGCGGGAGCGGGGCUGCGAGGCGGGCUGCGGAGCCCUGGAGAGUCAUUGAAGAAGGAAAAGAGGAAGCACACUGGAUGAGUUAAGUAGAGCUGAGCACAUGGAAGGUCGCACUAGGAAGUAGGAAUUGUUGAGCAGCGGGCAAGAGGUUAGAAGGAAGAUGGAGGUUGCAGUGCCAGCUAAUAACAGAAUGGGAGUGGAAUUCAGAACAUUCAGAUGUGGAGUUAAUGUGCGUCACUGCUGCCAGCCCCACUGCCAGCGAUAGGUUCUGUGUUUUUCCAGUGGGAAACUCUGAUCCACAGAGAUGCCUGCCGACCUGCACCUCCUUGCUCUUGUCUGCUUUUCUCCUGAUUGUUGCUUACUCUUUGAAACAUCAGCUGACUGUACAGAGCCUCUGUGGAAGCAGAUUUCAGGACAAAGGUCAUGUGUAAAAGCAGCACAUUUGCCUUCAGGCUUAAAGAAACCCUCUUCAAGACAAUGCUCUACAGUCUCCUGAAAGAAACCAUUACUACUGAUGAUUGAACUUGUGCCUUCUGCCAAGGAUGCAGACUGCUCCGGGCAAGGACAGCUCUGCUGGAAGUAGGCGAACUCUGACUCCACUUGUGCUCUCAUCGCUCUUACUGAGAAAUUAAUAAGAAGGACAUUGGGAUAUUCCAGAUCAAAGCUGGGAUUGAGUUUUAGCUUUUCAAAUCUUAUUGAAAAAUAUUAAACCAAUUAUAUUAUUAAAUAUAUUUAUUGUCUGAGCCACUUCUGGGGUAUAGAAAUGUAUCAGGGAAAAAAAUUCUUGCUAUAGAAUUUAGAGAUAAAUAAUAUGUCAUGAGAGACCUGUGUAGUCUGUGUAUUUAUGUAAAAUAAUCCAGCUUUAUUCAGUGAUUAUUUUGCCUUUUCAGUUCUUUGGUUCCAAAUUAAUUUUAGUAUUUCAGAAUGCUGAUUUCAUUGUCUAUGGAACACUUCCAGACAUAAACUAUUUUCGUCCUCAUAUAUCUUCAUUGUAACAAUAGUGAAUGUGACAUGGCUAACUCGUAUAAAUAAGUGAACAUGCUUGAGUAGUCAGUAUAGAUUUAUUUUAUAUGCAUGUCACAUAUCUUUGUUGAAAAGAUAGUGUUAACCAGUUAUUAAAAAGUUGUAUAUUUAUUUACUGUCUUAUAUAAAUGCAAAUAUUAUAAUUAUACAAGUAAACUUACUUUGAAACCUUUGCUCAAAUUUAUAGUUUUCUCUUCACAUAUUUGUAUAAUUUAACAAUGCUGUAGACACUUUAAAAGAAUAUCAGU